RNAcentral lists this ribosomal RNA (483 nucleotides) under uncultured bacterium. Its description in RNAcentral is "partial 16S ribosomal RNA". It matches the Rfam family "Bacterial small subunit ribosomal RNA", at positions 30 to 507 of the family's 1533-position model. The record is from RNAcentral.
AUUGAACGCUGGCGGCAGGCCUAACACAUGCAAGUCGAGCGGAUGAAGGGAGCUUGCUCCUGGAUUCAGCGGCGGACGGGUGAGUAAUGCCUAGGAAUCUGCCUGGUAGUGGGGAUAACGUCCGGAAACGGGCGCUAAUACCGCAUACGUCCUGAGGGAGAAAGUGGGGGAUCUUCGGACCUCACGCUAUCAGAUGAGCCUAGGUCGGAUUAGCUAGUUGGUGGGGUAAAGGCCUACCAAGGCGACGAUCCGUAACUGGUCUGAGAGGAUGAUCAGUCACACUGGAACUGAGACACGGUCCAGGCUCCUACGGGAGGCAGCAGUGGGGAAUAUUGGACAAUGGGCGAAAGCCUGAUCCAGCCAUGCCGCGUGUGUGAAGGAGGUCUUCCGAAUGUAAAGCACUUUAAGUUGGGAGGAAGGGCAGUAAGUUAAUACCCUGCUGUUUUGACGUUACCAACAGAAUAAGCACCGGCUAACUUCGUG